CCUGCCGAGACAGAGAGCAUGGUUACCAGUCAGGGGACUCACGCACAGGGGGAGGACCCCACGUCCCAUCUUGCUGGGAGACGGCAGAAGGAAAACAGGACAUCAGGACAGGGUGAGGGAAGAGAAUCCGCCACAGACAGACUCCGCCUCACAGGCAGGGCAAGCACCUCAGGGUCGAACAGCAUCCGUCACCUCAACCACAGGGAAGCAGCUGCAUGCUGCGCCUGAAGGCCCUCAGGACCCCUGCAGACUUCACACCCUCGCCUUGACAAGAGGAGGCCUCUGCUGCUCUAGCAUCUCGACCCGUAGGUGCCCGGACCCCACUGGACUCAACACAAUCUCACAUGGCACUAGCUUACACUGCCCUUGGUUCCCAGGUUCCCAGGCCCUGAAGCCACCAAUCAUGCUCUUUUCAUCAGUCCUUUUCACCCAUCCAACUGCCAAGACCACAAGCUAGAGAAACAUCCUUAAUCUCACCCUCCCCACCACGGCCAGACCUCCUGCAGAUUUCCAUCGAUAGAACUAUCCUGAGUCCAUCCACCUCCCUCCCUUGCUCCUGCUGCCUCCCACCAGAAACAUGCCACAGCCCCUCCUUGGCUGGCCUGCCUCUGCUUGGGCCCCCCAUGUGGCAGCCAAGUGUCAGGCCAUGACACCGCCCUGCCCCUCUGCUCAGGCUCCCUACUCCUCACCUGAAUGACACCCCCAUUCCUUAGACCUCAGUUCCAACAAUAAUGUGUUCCAAGAGCACCCCCUAACCUCCAACUCUGGGUCCUCCAUUUCAGUCCCCCUGCCACUGGGUGCCUCCCCUUGAAGGCACUUCCCGGUUUGUCAUUGAAUGUGUGUUGUCACACCCCAGUGUCUGGCCUGCCCACUAGCAAAGCUAUAAGGAACAAACCUGGGGCUAGUAUCUCCCACCAGCCUGCAAACUGGAUCUCCUAACACAGGUGGGGCUGAGAAAGGCCUAUACUAAUGAGGGGGAGCAGCAUCCCUAUGUGGCAGGUCCCAGUGGUGGUGGUAGGGCAGAAUGCCAUCCCACCUCAGAGAGCAUGGGAGAGAGAUCACUCUCCACAAGAACAAGACAGGAACAGGGUGCCCAGGAGUGGAAGAUCCCUUGUGGUCAGAACCAAGAGACCUGGGCUCCAGUAAGCAAGGCUGGUGCCAACGCACCCAUUACCACAGGGCUUCAGUGAGCCCAUCACUCACCUCCGGCUGCUGCGAGCACCAUGCGAGGGGCCUUGUAAUGCCUGCUGACAUACUCGGUCAGGUCUGCACGAGAUAGCUUCCUGCAAGACAUAUGGCCAAUGGCUUAAUGCCUCUCCCAAACCACAGCAGUCUGGGUCUCACAAAACAGUGCCGAGGAGAUAGACAAGGGAAGACAUGGCUUCUCCGGGGAGCAAGCCCUAGCACAGCCCUCAAUCCCCUUUCUCAUCUCUGCCGACCAGUCCUCUGGGGCCCCGCUUCACGUCUGCCUUUAGGUCAGGCUCAGUCCUUCCUCUCUGAGGAGGGGGUGAGCUGAUGCUGUGAGGUUCUCAAGGGGCGGUAUCAGUGCGUAUCCCACCCGGGAACAAGGAGCCACACAGAUUCCCAACGCUCCCUCCCUCAGGAUUUCAGGACACGCACAGAAUCAUACCCUACAAAGAAGCCCGCAAUGUGAGUGAAGACCGUACAGGUAUUUUAAAAGCCCUGCAAGGACCACAGGGCACAGAGAAAACAUUUCCAGUUGUGCAAAUUAAGAACGUAUAAUAGCAAAGGGCAACUAAAACCAAACUCGUGUGGACGGGGCUUGAACACAUUCCAGCACAGGCCCAGCCAACCCUCACCUGACAUUCCCACUGGGCCCCUCCACAGCCUGGGCUAGAGGUGUGCCCUGGAAUGCUGUGGCGUGCAGGUAGUCAAAGACCACGUCCCGCAUACAUGCAUCAUUCUCCUGCAGCUCCUGUAGGAUCACAUCACGCUCCUUCUCAAUCUGGGAGUCUUCUAGGGCACAGUUCUGCACAAUGUCGGCCAGGAGCUCCACAGCUGGACGUGAGAAGGGCAGGUUUGGGAACCAAAGGGCAGGUGGGGCCACUGCAGGCCAGUAACAGCACAAACCCCCCAGGCCUGGCAUGCCUGCAUGCCCUGCGGCAAGGAUCUGCUGUCAUGGUAACCCCACUCUUCAGCCAGGCCAAGUUCCUGGGGGCCUGUCCUCUGUACCCCUGAAGUCCUAUCCCCGUCCCUGCCCCAUCCUCCAGAUGUUACCUUUUGGCAGGUCCUUGGAUAGCGCCUUGAUGUAGUAUGCUGUGUGCUCCCGGGUGCUGUAGGCAUUGAGAUGGGCCCCCAUGCUCUCCACCUCCUUCUCCAAGGCAUUGCCAGGCCGAUUUUUUGUUCCCUGGAACCAGAUAUCAAGACGACCAUCAGGAGCCACAUGGAAACUGAGGACCCCUAUCUUCAAAGGCUAAAGUCCCAGCAGGACCAGUGGUCUACAGGCACCUUCCUCAUCAAAGACUAUGGGGAUGUACAGUCUACAGUCUGUCCUCACCAAGUGCCGAGCAGGCCACAGUAUCAUGGGCUAACAGAAUGGAGACAGCCAGGGGCCAGGAGAGAAGGGCACGGUCAGUGCAAGUGCUGCCUGAAAUCCAGAGCCCCAUAGCAGCCUGAUCUUACCAAUCACCUUACUGACAGUCAUAGCCAGAUUAUGUCACAUCAAUGUUUAGAUGACACUGCCAUUACCCACUCUACCCCCAUGCCAUUCAUAUGACUGUGUAUGUGCUAGUGGACACCUCUGUGGGACUCGACCCUCUGUGGGACCUCUGUGGGACCCUGUGGGACCCUCUGUGGGACCCACCCUGUGUGGGUGUUGCUGUCCACAGGCACACACACACGCAUGUUGAGAUCUACAUACACAUCUGUGAUGCUGCUGCUGGCUAAGCUACCUACCCGGUCCUGCUCCACACCCCUACUGAUCCAUAUCUCCUUCUCCAUUUUUUCAUUCAUUCAAAAAACUCCAGACUCCAUACCAACAUGGGCUGGCUUAGGGGCUGAGGGUAGUGACUGUCCCCACCUUCAAGAAAGCUCAGUAUUUACUUCUACAAACAAGAGAUGUCUGGAUAUUCUGCCAGAGCAGAACAUUUCACAAGAACACAUACUUGCCUGUGUCUGUGAAUUUGUUAAAACGCACGUUAUCUAUCUACGUGUUCGAUUCCACACCAGCGUGCGCACAUAACAAAGGCCUGGCCUCUCUGUGAGGAGUGGGGUUCCUGCAGCUCCCCGGGUUUUUUUCUGGCUCUAGGAGCCUUGUGCAGGGGCUGACCAGGUAAGUGCUCACUCAGGAGAGGCCAAGCCCUCAUGGUUCCUUCCAGAAAGGCCAGCCAGAGAUCGCCCCCCUAGCUGAAGCCCAUAAUUGAAGAGGUUGGCUUUGCUGACCUGCAUCCUCAGGAGGGACAAUAGGCAGUUGUAAGCCCAGGGGUGACGCAGGACUUCAGGAGCCUCACCUUGAAAGCCAGAUGCUCCAGAAAGUAACCUGCCCCGUUGUUCUUCUCAGUCUCGUAACGGCUGCCAACAUCAAUCCAUACCCCGACCUGGAUGAGAAGCCACCAACAAAGGUAACACACAAACCACCCCAGACUCCACUCACACCCUACUCUGGGUGACUCAGCAGAAGCCCCAGGACAGGGCUCAUGGUCCCAGAGUGGGGGAGAGCUGUCUCAGUAGGCCCCCUGUGCUUGGAGAUACAGCUAUGCCCUGGGCACAGGCACUGGCUGAAAAAGGACCUACUCCAAGGAAGUUUCUAACUGUGCACAUUCACUUGGCUCCAUUACCAAUAUGAACUUUUUAUAUUCUGUCUUGAUUUUCAGUUGAUUUUUUCAUUUUUUCUUUUUUUUUUUUUUU
This is a long non-coding RNA of Felis catus (domestic cat), 3867 nucleotides long. RefSeq lists it as uncharacterized. The record is from RefSeq and is a predicted model, not a curated record. The transcript has 2 exons. Lineage: Eukaryota; Metazoa; Chordata; Mammalia; Carnivora; Felidae.